Molecule: microRNA precursor, 94 nt
Filed under: Otolemur garnettii (small-eared galago)
Lineage: Eukaryota; Metazoa; Chordata; Mammalia; Primates; Galagidae
Description: miRNA (ENSOGAG00000028383.1)
Source: RNAcentral
AGAAGAGCUGGACAAGUACUGGUCCCAGCAGAUUGGAGAGCACCAUAGCGGUCACCUCACAGUCUGCUGAGGUUGGAGCUGCUGAGAUGACGCU